RNAcentral lists this long non-coding RNA (473 nucleotides) under Vigna radiata. Its description in RNAcentral is "long non-coding RNA (VRAD_LNC012054)". The record is from RNAcentral. Lineage: Eukaryota; Viridiplantae; Streptophyta; Magnoliopsida; Fabales; Fabaceae.
AGUAAUAUAAUUGGUAAAAACCCAAUAUCGUUCUUCCCAAGAGACUCGAAAGGCUUUAUCGUUCGUGUGAAUUAAAAUCAUAAGACUUGUAAAGAAAAUUAAUUGAGUGGAAUGCAAAGACACAAAAUAAACAUGCAAAUGUGUUUGAUUCAAUUGACGAAAAAGACUAUGGAUGAAUGGAGUUGUUGGGGGUUUACAAUUUCAUCUAAUUCGCUCUCUCUUAUCUACUCCUCUUGUUUAAUGUGCUUCAUUAUCUAAUUAUUAUGCAACUUUCUUGGCCUCCCCUUAACCCGAUCCCUCGGUGAAAAGGGCCUAUUACUAAUUACUGGCUUGUUAUCCCUAGCCUCCCCUAGAAAUUAAUAACGCAUUAUAGAACAGAAGCAAAAACAAUUGAUCGUCCUACCCCUAUCCCUUGGUGGUAUUGCUUAAUCAAGGAAUCACUCACCAAUUCAUGACAUUACUGUACGUCCCCG